UGCGAUAGCACAUGCGGCAGAACAUGAGACUCUUAAUCUCAGGGUUCUGGGUUCAAGCCCCACAUUGGGCAA
Molecule: non-coding RNA, 72 nt
Organism: Podarcis lilfordi (Lilford's wall lizard)
Lineage: Eukaryota; Metazoa; Chordata; Lepidosauria; Squamata; Lacertidae
Source: the annotation of a GenBank genome assembly